This is a long non-coding RNA of Sapajus apella (tufted capuchin), 255 nucleotides long. RefSeq lists it as uncharacterized. The record is from RefSeq and is a predicted model, not a curated record. The transcript has 3 exons. Lineage: Eukaryota; Metazoa; Chordata; Mammalia; Primates; Cebidae.
UGCUGGGAUUACAGAUGUGAGCCACUGCGCCUGGCCACGCCUUGUUUCUUAUGAUGAGUUUUGUAGCAACAGACUGUUGCUUGUCUUGUUUGUGAAUAUAUUCCAUGAUAAUUUUGCUGUUAAGACUGUUUAUAGGCUGAGUGAAAUGGCUCAUACCCAUAAUCCUACUUUGAGAGGCUGAGGUAGGAGGCUCACCUGAGCCCAGUAGUUUGAGACCAGCCUGGGCAACGUGUCAAGACACUGUGUCUAUUUUAA